AGACCCGAAACCCGGUGAUCUAGCCAUGGGCAGGUUGAAGGUUGGGUAACACUAACUGGAGGACCGAACCGACUAAUGUUGAAAAAUUAGCGGAUGACCUGUGGCUGGGGGUGAAAGGCCAAUCAAACCGGGAGAUAGCUGGUUCUCCCCGAAAGCUAUUUAGGUAGCGCCUCGUGAAUUCAUCUCCGGGGGUAGAGCACUGUUUCGGCUAGGGGGCCAUCCCGGCUUACCAACCCGAUGCAAACUGCGAAUACCGGAGAAUGUUAUCACGGGAGACACACGGCGGGUGCUAACGUCCGUCGUGAAGAGGGAAACAACCCAGACCGCCAGCUAAGGUCCCAAAGUCAUGGUUAAGUGGGAAACGAUGUGGGAAGGCCCAGACAGCCAGGAUGUUGGCUUAGAAGCAGCCAUCAUUUAAAGAAAGCGUAAUAGCUCACUGGUCGAGUCGGCCUGCGCGGAAGAUGUAACGGGGCUAAACCAUGCACCGAAGCUGCGGCAGCGAACGUAUCACUUAAAGCGAUUCAGCGGGUUACGAUUGACGGAGCGAAGCGACGUCAAAGCGUAUACAAAGUCGAGUCGGUUUAAGGAUACGUUCGUUGGGUAGGGGAGCGUUCUGUAAGCCUGCGAAGGUGGCCUGUGAGGGUUGCUGGAGGUAUCAGAAGUGCGAAUGCUGACAUAAGUAACGAUAAAGCGGGUGAAAAGCCCGCUCGCCGGAAGACCAAGGGUUCCUGUCCAACGUUAAUCGGGGCAGGGUGAGUCGACCCCUAAGGCGAGGCCGAAAGGCGUAGUCGAUGGGAAACGGGUUAAUAUUCCCGUACUUGGUGUUACUGCGAAGGGGGGACGGAGAAGGCUAUGUUGGCCGGGCGACGGUUGUCCCGGUUUAAGCGUGUAGGUGUGUGUUCCAGGUAAAUCCGGUUCACUUUAACACUGAGGCGUGACGACGAGGCACUACGGUGCUGAAGCAACAAAUGCCCUGCUUCCAGGAAAAGCCUCUAAGCAUCAGGUAACAUCAAAUCGUACCCCAAACCGACACAGGUGGUCAGGUAGAGAAUACCAAGGCGCUUGAGAGAACUCGGGUGAAGGAACUAGGCAAAAUGGUGCCGUAACUUCGGGAGAAGGCACGCUGACACGUAGGUGAAGUGAUUUACUCACGGAGCUGAAGUCAGUCGAAGAUACCAGCUGGCUGCAACUGUUUAUUAAAAACACAGCACUGUGCAAACACGAAAGUGGACGUAUACGGUGUGACGCCUGCCCGGUGCCGGAAGGUUAAUUGAUGGGGUCAGCGCAAGCGAAGCUCCUGAUCGAAGCCCCGGUAAACGGCGGCCGUAACUAUAACGGUCCUAAGGUAGCGAAAUUCCUUGUCGGGUAAGUUC
Molecule: ribosomal RNA, 1373 nt
Filed under: Salmonella enterica subsp. enterica serovar Infantis
Lineage: Bacteria; Pseudomonadati; Pseudomonadota; Gammaproteobacteria; Enterobacterales; Enterobacteriaceae
Description: partial 23S ribosomal RNA
Rfam family: Bacterial large subunit ribosomal RNA
Source: RNAcentral